UACGUAGGGGGCGAGCGUUAUCCGGAAUUACUGGGUGUAAAGGGAGCGUAGACGGCGAGGUAAGCCUGAAGUGGAAGCCCGCGGCCCAACCGCGGAACUGCUUUGGGAACUGUUUUGCUGGAGUAUGGGAGGGGUAAGCGGAAUUCCUGGUGUAGCGGUGAAAUGCGUAGAUAUCAGGAGGAACACCGGUGGCGAAGGCGGCUUACUGGGCCAUAACUGACGUUGAGGCUCGAAAGCGUGGGGAGCGAACAGG
This 253-nucleotide ribosomal RNA is filed under the name uncultured bacterium. RNAcentral describes it as "partial 16S ribosomal RNA". It matches the Rfam family "Bacterial small subunit ribosomal RNA", at positions 524 to 776 of the family's 1533-position model. The record is from RNAcentral.